GGUCUUGAUGGUAAGCAUUAAAUAUGACCCUCCUGAUGAUCCCUCAUCCUUUCAAUUAAUUCAUUUUGCCAUUUGAUUUGGUUUUAUGUGGAGAGUGUGAAGUUGGUUUUCUUCAUUUCAAUUGCAAUUGGGGGUUUUUCACUAGCAAAAUAAACCCUUGGAUUUAUCCUAUCUACUGACUGUGGGCACUUACUAAAUAUUUUUCUUUUUUCCCACUAUUGUAAUGAUCUUCAUACACGAACUAAUCUAAUUCUUCUUUAAGAGCAAUAUUUAUCUCCAAAUAAAUUCUAAUAUUAAAGAGGAUCCUUUAUUUGGUUUUGCUUCAUUCUGAUGUUUUGUUUGAUUUAGUG
Molecule: unclassified non-coding RNA, 350 nt
Filed under: Hevea brasiliensis (rubber tree)
Lineage: Eukaryota; Viridiplantae; Streptophyta; Magnoliopsida; Malpighiales; Euphorbiaceae
Source: RNAcentral